AUUGAACGCUGGCGGAAUGCCGAACACAUGCAAGUCGAGCGGAGUAGCAAUACUCAGCGGCGGACGGGAGAGGAAUACAUAGGAACUUGCCUUUAGGUGGGGGAUAGCUUGGGGAAACUCAAGGUAAUACCGCAUGAUCUCGCAAGGGCAAAGGGGUGCAAGUCUCGCCUUUAGAGAGGCCGAUGUCUGAUUAGCUAGUUGGCGGUGUAAUAGACCGCCAAGGCGACGAUCAGUAACUGGUCGUAGAGGACGAUCAGUCACAGCGGCACUGGGGCACGGUCCGUGCUCCUACGGGAGGCAGCAGUGGGGAAUAUUGGACAAUGUGCGAAAGCCUGAUCCAGCGAUGCCGCGUGUGUGAAGAAGGCCUUCGGGUUGUAAAGCACGUUAGUGAGGGAAGAAACAGCUUAGCCACACCAAGCCUUGACGUUACCUCAAGAAUAAGCACCUGCUAACUCUGUGCCAGCAGCCGCGGUAA
This 475-nucleotide ribosomal RNA is filed under the name uncultured bacterium. RNAcentral describes it as "partial 16S ribosomal RNA". It matches the Rfam family "Bacterial small subunit ribosomal RNA", at positions 30 to 523 of the family's 1533-position model. The record is from RNAcentral.